AAAAAACUUCGUUCUCUCCAUCAGUGGUUAGAGAGGGGAGUGAUGUGGUGAGCCGUUACCACAAUACAUUUAGGCCGGGUUGGAAAACGUAUAAAUCAAUUGGUAAACAUGUUUUUCGGCGGCACAACCGGUCAUCGCGUCAGUUGACGUAUGUAUAGUUUUAUACCGACGCCUCCUAUAUUUCGUAACCACCGUUAUCACCACGCAUUCGAGGGAUCAAUUGCGCACUCAAUAAACACAGUCUUUGCUUGAUGAAAACAAUUACUAUUAUCGCGAAGUAUGUGAUAAAGUGAUCCAAGUUAGACAAGUAACGGGUGACGUUCUGAACGGUGAUGUGACCAAGACGGCGGUAAUCCCCUCAGCAACGAAGUGAUCUGUUCGUUUUUGGACGGCAGGCGGAGCGGUCUUGGCCAAGCGUUGCAUGAGGGGAGAAUGGUCAUUUGUUUGCGUAGGAAAGCGUAUUCACGACGUGCGAUAUUGAUCCGGUCUGGUGACAACUUCCGAGAUCAAGCACAACAUGGCGGGUCUAUUGUCUGGAGAACGUGUUCAACUUCGACCGAUGUAUACCUCACGGCAGCAAACGAAGUUCGAAACUAAAAUGGAUCUUUUAAAUAACAACGUUUCGCGUUCGAUCGUUCCUGAGGGUUUCCGGCACGGAGUCAGACAACAGGCCGUGACUUCGAAUUAUUACACAAACACGUGAUCAUUCACCCCUCAUUCAGCUUUUGGCCGAGGCAACUUCUCUUGGUGCUCAAGAAGGACAAGUCAUUCGACCCUGUAGAUACUACCGUCUAAAUCCUGUAAAACGCGGACCGUAACCGCUGCUCACUCGCAUCA
This is a long non-coding RNA of Aphis gossypii (cotton aphid), 837 nucleotides long. RefSeq lists it as uncharacterized. The transcript is spliced from 3 exons. The record is from RefSeq and is a predicted model, not a curated record. NCBI's taxonomy places the organism in Eukaryota, Metazoa, Arthropoda, Insecta, Hemiptera, Aphididae.